Molecule: ribosomal RNA, 484 nt
Filed under: uncultured bacterium
Lineage: Bacteria
Description: partial 16S ribosomal RNA
Rfam family: Bacterial small subunit ribosomal RNA
Source: RNAcentral
AUUGAACGCUGGCGGCAUGCUUUACACAUGCAAGUCGAACGGCAGCGCGGGCUUCGGCCUGGCGGCGAGUGGCGAACGGGUGAGUAAUACAUCGGAACGUGCCCAGUAGUGGGGGAUAGCUCGGCGAAAGCCGGAUUAAUACCGCAUACGACCUGAGGGUGAAAGCGGGGGAUCUUCGGACCUCGCGCUAUUGGAGCGGCCGAUGGCAGAUUAGCUAGUUGGUGGGGUAAAGGCCUACCAAGGCGACGAUCUGUAGCUGGUCUGAGAGGACGACCAGCCACACUGGGACUGAGACACGGCCCAGACUCCUACGGGAGGCAGCAGUGGGGAAUUUUGGACAAUGGGCGAAAGCCUGAUCCAGCAAUGCCGCGUGCGUGAUGAAGGCCCUCGGGUUGUAAAGCACUUUUGGCGGGAACGAAAAGGACUGUGCCAAUACCACGGUUCGAUGACGGUACCCGCAGAAUAAGCACCGGCUAACUACGUG